UUCAUUCAUUACCAUGGAAGACACAUAGUAGUACAUCAUUAAUAUGAUACGGUAUUAUGAUAUGAUACUCAACCCUCUCUUUCUUCAUUUAAUUCUAUGACACAUCAUCGAAAUUGCCUAGUUUACAUGCAUGAUACUACGUAUUAUACUCCCGUUACGGGAAGCCUUAGCAAUAACGCUUCAGGAGGCCCAGCCUGACGUGGUUUUAUGGUCCUGAGAGCGAGGUAGGGACUUCUGAGUUAGAUUGGCAACGCGGCCAGGUUUGCUGGCCGUAUGAUCUCUACCACAGCAGAUUUUUCAUGGAAAUAGAGGGCUCCAUUGCUCCACAUUGGACCAGUGUCGAUUGCCCGAGUGCCUGUGGCAUCAGACACCUGAAAGCAAGUACAAAAAUGGUUACUGCAGCCAGACCCGAUCCAACUGAAUAUCUGAACACCAUAUACUCACACGAGUGGAGUGGCUAUAGUUGCCGAUUUGAACGAGAAGAUGACUCGUGUUGUAUGCAUCCACUCCAUCAUCAUAUUCUUGAACAAAUGAAUGACCUAUACUCUGGUUGAAUGUGCUACGUUGCUGGUGCCUGGUGAUUAAUUUGAGCGUGCAUACAUUACAUGGAAUGGAAAUCAUCUGCUUUGUGUACGGAGUGAUUAAUAUGACAGUACAUUAUAGUGAAUGAGAAAACAAGGUAUGUGUUUCUACGGUUCGAGAUAUAAUCAUCAUCCUCAGCAACGAGGAAUCCAAAAUUGUAUUGGUUUCUAGAUCACUGGAACAAGCUAGGCCAUCGGUCUUAAUAUAUACAGUACUACACCAGCUACACAUAAGUGCCUAUGUACGUAUAGGUAUAGUGCCUCACAGUUAUUGCUAAGUACUUGACUCAAGUCUUGCAUCUUCACUCAUUACUUCCCUCUGUAUACUCUCUUCCAUGUAGAGGGAGGUCGGUCGGUUGGAAGAAACAAGUUACAAGAAGAACUACUCACAUGUUGUGUUCAUGCAUGAUACAUAUAGGUUUGAUUACAUACACCAUGAGAAGUUUUAAGAAUAGAAGGCAUCGGGAUAAAUUGUCCGAGCAUAAUCCCACGUAAAUCUGGACAUGAAGCUUGAGCCUGUGGGCUCGUCCCACACUCAUCAUGGCUCGAUUCAGAUCGGGCUUGGACCUAGACAUAAAUAGGCUGUGGUGAGGUCCUUUAUUGGCCUUAUUUGUGUCUUGAGCCAAGCUUAGUUCUAAUUGGGCUAGCUCACACGCUAAAAAACUUGUGUCUCGAUAGCUCAUUCUAGGCUAUCCUGUGGAAUGAAACCAGUUGAGGAAGACACGUUAAGUGUUGAUCACACACGUAUGGUAGGAUUCACGUCCGACUAUAUGACGGGGUCACACCCGCGCACUUCCACCCAUCGCUGCCGCGAACCCUGAACCCGCUCCUUUGUGUAUUUCCUAUCGCCUCCACUACCAAGCACAAAACACUCGGCUAAAAGUUCCUACACUCAAGCACUGGACUGCCCUCUCCCAGUUGACAACCAUCAUUUGCAUCGGUUGAUACAAAAAUCCUCUCGCAAAUUGUGGCUACAUAUUCCAAGAACGAAAAGCCUCAAAGUAAAAGAGUUGGUACCUUCUCUUGAAUCUCGAUUCAUUUCAGUAGUGUAAGGAAGUCUGAAUGCAUGAUCGAGUGAGUCCCAUAUGUGCUCAAUAUUUCUGUCACGGCAGUGGAAAAGCAAUGUCGCGAGGUAACGCCUCGCCGCGCCCAGGCCACCGGCACGACACGAAGAGCAGCCUUACAAGCCAACGUUGUUCUUGCGGGUGUAAAGGUUCCGAUCGAUGAUGCCACAUUCUACUUCAGGGAUCUAACGGAGUUUGGUGUACAUUUAAGUAUUUCACGAUAACCCUUUGACUAGCACUUAUAUGCAAGAAGAUAUUCUUCCACUAUAUGCAUUGUUGGAAUUAUGCCCUAGAGGCAAUAAUAAAUGUAUAGUUAUUAUUAUAAUUCCUGUAUCAAGAUAAUAGUUUAUUAUCCAUGCUAUAAUUGUAUUGAAUGAAGACUCAUUUACAUGUGUGGAUACAUAGACAAAACACCGUCCCUAGCAUGCCUCUAGUUGGCUAGCCAGUUGAUCGAUGAUAAUCAGUGUCUUCUGAUUAUGAACAAGGUGUUGUUGCUUGAUAACUGGAUCACGUCAUUAGGAGAAUCACGUGAUGGACUAAGACCCAAACUAAUAGACGUAGCAUGUUGAUCGUGUCAUUUUGUUGCUACUGUUUUCUGCGUGUCAAGUAUUUAUUCCUAUGACCAUGAGAUCAUAUAACUCACUGACACCGGAGGAAUGCUUUGUGUGUAUCAAACGUCGCAACGUAACUGGGUGACUAUAAAGAUGCUCUACAGGUAUCUCCGAAGGUGUUAGUUGAGUUAGUGUGGAUCAAGACUGGGAUUUGUCACUCCGUGUGACGGAGAGGUAUCUCGGGGCCCACUCGGUAAUACAACAUCACACAUAAGCCUUGCAAGCAAUGUAACUUAGUGUAAGUUGCGGGAUCUUGUAUUACGGAACGAGUAAAGAGACUUGCCGGUAAACGAGAUUGAAAUAGGUAUACGGAUACUGACGAUCGAAUCUCGGGCAAGUAACAUACCGAAGGACAAAGGGAAUAACAUACGGGAUUAUACGAAUCCUUGGCACUGAGGUUCAAACGAUAAGAUCUUCGUAGAAUAUGUAGGAUCCAAUAUGGGCAUCCAGGUCCCGCUAUUGGAUAUUGACCGAGGAGUCUCUCGGGUCAUGUCUACAUAGUUCUCGAACCCGCACGGUCUGCACACUUAAGGUUCGACGUUGUUUUAUGCGUAUUUGAGUUAUAUGGUUGGUUACCGAAUGUUGUUCGGAGUCCCGGAUGAGAUCAUGGACGUCACGAGGGUUUCCGGAAUGGUCCGGAAACAAAGAUUGAUAUAUAGGAUGACCUCAUUUGAUUACCGGAAGGUUUUCGGAGUUGCCGGGAAUGUACCGGGAAUGACGAAUGGGUUCCGGGAGUUCACCGGAGGGGGGGAACCCACUCCGGGGAAGCCCAUAGGUAUUUGUGGGGGUCACACCAGCCCUUAGUGGGCUGGUGGGACAGCCCACCAAAUCCUAUGCGCCAAGGAAGAAAAAAUCAAAGGAAGAAAAAAAAAAGAGGGAGAAGUGGGAAGGGGGAAGGACUCCCUCCCACCAAACCAAGUAGGACUCGGUUUGGGGGGGGAGAGUCCUCCCCCCUGGCUCGGCCGACCCCUUGGGGUUCCCUUGGACCCCAAGGCAAGGUCCCCCUCCCUCCUCCUAUAUAUAUGGGGCUUUUAGGGCAGAUUUGAGACGAUUUUCUCACGGCUGCCCGACCACAUACCUCCAUAGUUUUUCCUCUAGAUCGUGUUUCUGUGGAGCUCGGGCGGAGCCCUGCUGAGACAAGAUCAUCACCAACCUCCGGAGCGCCGUCACGCUGCCGGAGAACUCUUCUACCUCUCCGUCUCUCUUGCUGGAUCAAAGCGUGGGAUGAACUCUUCUACCUCUCCGUCUCUCUUGUUGGAUCAAGAAGGCCGAGAUCGUCGUCGAGCUGUGCGUGUGCUGAACGCGGAGGUGCCGUCCGUUCGGUACUAGAUCGUGGGACUGAUCGCGGGAUUGUUCGCGGGGCGGAUCGAGGGACGUGAGGACGUUCCACUACAUCAACCGCGAUCUCUAAUCGCUUCUGCUGUACGAUCUACAAGGGUACGUAGAUCACUCAUCCCCUCUCGUAGAUGGACAUCACCAUGAUAGGUCUUCGUGCGCGUAGGAAAAUUUUUGUUUCCCUUGCGACGUUCCCCAACAGUGGCAUCAUGAGCUAGGUUCAUGCGUAGAUGUCUUCUCGAGUAGAACACAAAAGGUUUUGUGGGCGGUGAUGUGCGUUUUGCUGCCCUCCUUAGUCUUUUCUUGAUUCCGCGGUAUUGUUGGAUUGAAGCGGCUUGGACCGACAUUACUCGUACGCUUACGAGAGACUGGUUUCAUCGUUACGAGUAACCCCCUUUGCUCAAAGAUGACUGGCAAGUGACGGUUUCUCCAACUUUAGUUGAAUCGGAUUUGACCGAGGAGGUCCUUGGAUGAGGUUAAAUAGCAACUCAUAUAUCUCCGUUGUGGUGUUUGCGUAAGUAAGAUGCGAUCCUACUAGAUACCCUUGGUCACCACGUAAAACAUGCAAGAACAAAAUUAGAGGACGUCUAACUUGUUUUUGCAGGGUAUGAUUGUGAUGUGAUAUGGCCAAUGAUGUGAUGUGAUAUAUUGGAUGUAUGAGAUGAUCAUGUUGUAAUAGAAAUAUCGACUUGCACGUCGAUGGUACGGCAACCGGCAGGAGCCAUAGGGUUGUCUUUAUACUAACAUAUGUGCUUGCAGAUGCGUUUACUAUUUUGCUAGGAUGUAGCUUUAGUAGUGAUAGCAUAAGUAGCACGACAACCCCGAUGGCGACACGUUGAUGGAGAUCAUGAUGAUGGAGAUCAUGGUGUGGCGCCGGUGACAAGAAGAUCGUGCCGGUGCUUUGGUGAUGGAGAUCAAGAAGCACGUGAUGAUGGCCAUAUCAUGUCACUUAUGAAUUGCAUGUGAUGUUAAUCCUUUGAUGCACCUUAUUUUGCUUAGAACGACGGUAGCAUUAUGAGGUGAUCUCUCACUAAAAUUUCAAGACGAAAUUGUGUUCUCCCCGACUAUGCACCGUUGCUACAGUUCGUCGUUUCGAGACACCACGUGAUGAUCGGGUGUGAUAGACUCAACGUUCACAUACAACGGGUGCAAAACAGUUGCGCACGCGGAACACUCGGGUUAAGCUUGACGAGCCUAGCAUGUGCAGACAUGGCCUCGGAACACAUGAGACCGAAAGGUCGAUCAUGAAUCAUAUAGAUGAUAUGAUUGGCAUAGGGAUGCUUACCACUGAAACUACUCCCGACUCACGUGAUGAUCGGACUUGGGAUAGUGUAGGUGGAUCAUGAACCACUCAAAUGACUAGAGAGAUGUACUUUUUGAGUGGGAGUUUAGCAUGUAAUUUGAUUAAGUUGAACUCUAAUUAUCUUGAACAUAGUCUAAGUCCACUUUGAAUAUAUUUGUGUUGUAGAUCAUGGCUCACGCAAGUGUCAUCCUCAAUUUUAAUACGUUCCUAGAGAAAGCUAAGUUGAAAGAUGAUGGAAGCAACUUUGUAGACUGGGCUCGUAAUCUUAAGCUAAUCUUACAAGCUGGAAAGAAGGAUUAUGUCCUUAAUGCUGCGCUAGGAGAUGAACCACCCGCUACGGCUGAUCAGGAUGUUAAGAACGCUUGGUUAGCGCGUAAGGAGGACUACUCAAUAGUUCAAUGUGCAGUCUUGUAUGGCUUAGAACCGGGACUUCAACGUUGCUUUGAGCGUCAUGGAGCAUUUGAGAUGUUCCAGGAGUUGAAGUUCAUCUUUCAGAAGAACGCCCGGAUCGAGAGGUAUGAGACCUCCGAUAAAUUCUAUGCUUGCAAGAUGGAGGAAAACUCGUCUGUCAGUGAACAUGUGCUCAAAAUGUCUGGGUACUCAAACCGUCUAGCUGAACUGGGGAUUGAACUCCCGCAAGAAGCUAUCACUGACAGAAUCCUCCAAUCACUGCCGCCAAGCUAUAAAAGCUUUGUGUUGAACUACAAACAUGCAAGGGAUGAACAAGUCUCCCGGCGAGUUGUUUGCGAUGCUGAAAGUCGCAGAGUCUGAACUCCGUAAAGAACAUCAAGUGUUGAUGGUGAGCAAGACCACUAGUUUCAAGAGAAACGGCAAAGGCAAGAAGGGCAAUUCGAAGAAGAGCGGCAAGCCUGUUGCCAAUCCACCGAAGAAACCCAAGGCUGGACCUAAGCCUGAAACAGAGUGCUUCUAUUGCAAGGGUAUGGGUCACUGGAAGCGCAAUUGCCCCAAGUAUCUGGCAGAUAAGAAGGCGGGCAAAGAAAAAUCAGGUAUAUUUGAUAUACAUGUUAUUGAUGUGUACUUAACCAGCUCUCGUAGUAGUGCCUGGGUAUUCGAUACCGGUUCUGUUGCUCACAUUUGCAACUCGAAGCAGGAACUGCGGAAUAGACGGAGGCUGGCGAAAGACGAAGUGACGAUGCGCGUAGGAAACGGUUCCAAGGUUGAUGCAAUCGCCGUCGGCACCGUGUCACUUCAACUACCAUCGGGAUUAGUGAUGAACUUAAAUCAUUGUUAUUUAGUGCCUGCGUUGAGCAUGAACAUUAUAUCUGGAUCUUGUUUAUUGCGAGACGGUUACUCUUUUAAGUCUGAGAAUAAUGGUUGUUCUAUUUCUAUGAGUAACAUCUUUUAUGGUCAUGCACCGAAUGUGAGAGGAUUGUUCAUAUUGAAUCUCGAUAGCGAUACGCAUAUACAUAACAUUGAGACCAAAAGAGUUAGAGUAAACAAUGAUAGCGCCAUAUUUUUGUGGCACUGCCGCUUGGGUCAUAUUGGUGUAAAGCGCAUGUAGAAACUCCAUGCUAAUGGACUUUUGAAGUCACUUGACUUUGAUUCACUUGACACGUGCGAACCAUGCCUCAUGGGCAAGAUGACUAAAACUCCGUUCUCCGGAACAAUGGAGCGUGCAAGUGACUUAUUGGAAAUCAUACAUACCGAUGUGUGUGGUCCGAUGAGCGUGGAGGCACGCGGCGGAUAUCGUUAUUUUCUCACCUUCACUGACGAUUUGAGUAGAUAUGGUUAUGUCUACUUAAUGAAGCACAAGUCUGAAACAUUUGAAAAUUUCAAGCAAUUUCAGAGUGAAGUAGAAAAUCAUCGUAACAAGAAGAUCAAGUUCCUACGGUCUGAUCGUGGGGGUGAAUAUCUGAGUUUCGAGUUUGGUGCUCACUUAAGACAAUGUGGAAUUGUUUCGCAGUUAACACCGCCUGGAACACCACAGCGUAAUGGUGUGUCCGAACGUCGUAAUCGUACUUUAUUAGAAAUGGUGCGAUCUAUGAUGUCUCUUACUGAUUUGCCGUUAUCGUUUUGGGGUUAUGCAUUAGAAACAGCUGCAUUCACUUUAAAUAGGGCACCAUCGAAAUCCGUUGAGACGACACCACACGAACUAUGGUAUGGCAAAAGGCCAGAGUUGUCGUUUCUUAAAGUUUGGGGAUGUGAUGCUUAUGUCAAAAAGCUUCAGCCUGAAAAGCUGGAACCCAAAGCGGAAAAGUGCGUCUUCAUAGGCUACCCAAAAGAGACAGUUGGGUACACCUUCUAUCUCAAAUCCGAGGGCAAAGUGUUUGUUGCUAAGAACGGAACUUUUCUCGAGAAGGAGUUUCUCUCGAGAGAAUUGAGUGGGAGGAAGAUAGAACUUGACGAGGUUGUCGAACCUCUCAUCCCUCUGGAUGGUGGCGCAGGGCAAGGGGAAACCCCUGUGAUUGCGACGCCAGUUGAGGAGGAAGUUAAUGAUGAUGAUCAUGAAACUCCAGUUCAAGUUUCUGUUGAACCACGCAGGUCGACGAGAUCACGCGCUGCUCCAGAGUGGUACGGUAAUCCCGUCUUGACAAUCAUGUUGUUAGACAACAAUGAACCUGCAAAUUAUGAAGAAGCAAUGGUGGGCCCAGAUUCCAACAAAUGGCUAGAAGCCAUGAAAUCCGAGAUAGGAUCCAUGUAUGAGAACAAAGUAUGGACUUUGGAGAUACUACCUGAGGGCCGCAAGGCUAUUCAGAACAAAUGGAUUUUUAAGAAGAAGACGGACGCUGACGGUAAUGUGACCGUUUAUAAAGCUCGACUUGUGGCAAAGGGUUUUUCACAAGUUCCAGGAAUUGACUACGAUGAGACUUUCUCUCCCGUAGCGAUGCUUAAGUCCGUCAGAAUCAUGUUAGCAAUAGCUGCAUUUUUCGAUUAUGAAAUUUGGCAGAUGGAUGUCAAAACGGCGUUCCUUAACGGUUUCCUUAAGGAAGAGUUGUAUAUGAUGCAACCCGAAGGUUUUGUCGAUCCUAAAAAUGCUAACAAGGUGUGCAAACUCCAGCGAUCCAUUUAUGGACUGGUGCAAGCAUCUCGGAGUUGGAACAAACGCUUUGAUGAGGUGAUCAAAGCAUUUGGGUUUAUACAAGUGGUUGGAGAAUCUUGUAUUUACAAGAAAGUGAGUGGGAGCUCUGUGGCGUUUCUAAUAUUAUAUGUGGAUGACAUAUUACUGAUUGGAAACAACGUAGAGCUUUUGGAGAGCAUAAAAGGUUACUUGAAUAAAAGUUUCUCUAUGAAGGACCUAGGAGAAGCUGCUUACAUUCUAGGCAUUAAGAUCUAUAGGGAUAGAUCAAAACGCCUGAUAGGACUUUCACAAAGCACAUACCUUGAUAAAGUUUUGAAGAGGUUCAAAAUGGAACAGUCCAAGAAAGGGUUCUUGCCAGUGUUACAAGGUACGAGAUUGAGUAAGACUCAGUGCCCAGCAACUGAUGAAGAUAGAGAGCAUAUGCGCUCCGUCCCCUAUGCUUCAGCCAUAGGCUCUAUCAUGUAUGCGAUGCUGUGCACUAGACCGGAUGUUAGCCUGGCCAUAAGUAUGGUAGGCAGGUUCCAGAGUAAUCCAGGAGUGGAUCACUGGACAGCGGUCAAGAAUAUCCUAAAGUACCUGAAAAGGACUAAGGAGAUGUUUCUCGUGUAUGGAGGUGACGAAGAGCUCGCCGUAAAAGGUUACGUCGAUGCAAGCUUUGACACAGAUCCGGACGACUCUAAGUCGCAAACCGGAUACGUAUUUAUUCUUAAUGGGGGUGCAGUAAGCUGGUGCAGUUCCAAGCAAAGCGUCGUAGUAGAUUCUACAUGUGAAGCGGAAUACAUGGCUGCCUCGGAGGCGGCUAAGGAGGGUGUCUGGAUGAAGCAGUUCAUGACGGAUCUUGGAGUGGUGCCAAGUGCACUGGAUCCAAUAACCUUGUUCUGUGACAACACUGGUGCCAUUGCCUUAGCAAAGGAACCAAGGUUUCACAAGAAGACCAGACACAUCAAACGACGCUUCAACCUCAUCCGCGACUACGUCGAGGAGGAGGACGUAAAUAUAUGCAAAGUGCACACGGAUCUGAAUGCAUGAUACAUAUAGGUUUGAUUACAUACACCAUGAGAAGUUUUAAGAAUAGAAGGCAUCGGGAUAAAUUGUCCGAGCAUAAUCCCACGUAAAUCUGGACAUGAAGCUUGAGCCUGUGGGCUCGUCCCACACUCAUCAUGGCUCGAUUCAGAUCGGGCUUGGACCUAGACAUAAAUAGGCUGUGGUGAGGUCCUUUAUUGGCCUUAUUUGUGUCUUGAGCCAAGCUUAGUUCUAAUUGGGCUAGCUCACACGCUAAAAAACUUGUGUCUCGAUAGCUCAUUCUAGGCUAUCCUGUGGAAUGAAACCAGUUGAGGAAGACACGUUAAGUGUUGAUCACACACGUAUGGUAGGAUUCACGUCCGACUAUAUGACGGGGUCACACCCGCGCACUUCCACCCAUCGCUGCCGCGAACCCUGAACCCGCUCCUUUGUGUAUUUCCUAUCGCCUCCACUACCAAGCACAAAACACUCGGCUAAAAGUUCCUACACUCAAGCACUGGACUGCCCUCUCCCAGUUGACAACCAUCAUUUGCAUCGGUUGAUACAAAAAUCCUCUCGCAAAUUGUGGCUACAUAUUCCAAGAACGAAAAGCCUCAAAGUAAAAGAGUUGGUACCUUCUCUUGAAUCUCGAUUCAUUUCAGUAGUGUAAGGAAGUCUGAAUGCAUGAUCGAGUGAGUCCCAUAUGUGCUCAAUAUUUCUGUCACGGCAGUGGAAAAGCAAUGUCGCGAGGUAACGCCUCGCCGCGCCCAGGCCACCGGCACGACACGAAGAGCAGCCUUACAAGCCAACGUUGUUCUUGCGGGUGUAAAGGUUCCGAUCGAUGAUGCCACAUUCUACUUCAGGGAUCUAACGGAGUUUGGUGUACAUUUAAGUAUUUCACGAUAACCCUUUGACUAGCACUUAUAUGCAAGAAGAUAUUCUUCCACUAUAUGCAUUGUUGGAAUUAUGCCCUAGAGGCAAUAAUAAAUGUAUAGUUAUUAUUAUAAUUCCUGUAUCAAGAUAAUAGUUUAUUAUCCAUGCUAUAAUUGUAUUGAAUGAAGACUCAUUUACAUGUGUGG
Molecule: long non-coding RNA, 10015 nt
Filed under: Hordeum vulgare
Lineage: Eukaryota; Viridiplantae; Streptophyta; Magnoliopsida; Poales; Poaceae
Description: long non-coding RNA (HVUL_LNC014072)
Source: RNAcentral